Molecule: transfer RNA, 74 nt
Filed under: Richelia sp. CSU_2_1
Lineage: Bacteria; Bacillati; Cyanobacteriota; Cyanophyceae; Nostocales; Nostocaceae
Also listed under: 3 other names
Description: tRNA-Leu
Rfam family: tRNA
About the family: Transfer RNA (tRNA) molecules are approximately 80 nucleotides in length.
Source: RNAcentral
ACCCCUGUGAUGUAAUUGGAAAACAUCAUCGAAUCAGAAUCGAUGUUUUGUAGGUUCAAAUCCUAUCGGGGGUA